RNAcentral lists this ribosomal RNA (253 nucleotides) under uncultured bacterium. Its description in RNAcentral is "partial 16S ribosomal RNA". It matches the Rfam family "Bacterial small subunit ribosomal RNA", at positions 524 to 776 of the family's 1533-position model. The record is from RNAcentral.
GACAGAGGGUGCAUACGUUGUUCGGAAUUACUGGGCGUAAAGCGCGUGUAGGCGGCUUGGCAAGUCGGGUGUGAAAGCCCUGGGCUCAACCUAGGAAGUGCACUCGAAACUGCUUCGCUUGAGUGUCGGAGAGGAAAGCGGAGUACUCGGUGUAGAGGUGAAAUACGUAGAUAUCGAGAGGAACAUCGGUGGCGAAGGCGGCUUUCUGGACGACUACUGACGCUGAGACGCGAAAGCGUGGGGAGCAAACAGG